CCCAGACUCCUACGGGAGGCAGCAGUGGGGAAUCUUCCGCAAUGGGCGAAAGCCUGACGGAGCAACGCCGCGUGAUCGAAUGAAGGCCUUCGGGUUGUAAAGAUCUUUUGACAGGGACGAAUAAGCCAUGCGAAUAGUUUGGUGUAUGACGGUACCUGUUUAGAAAGCUCCGGCUAACUACGUGCCAGCAGCCGCGGUAAUACGUAGGGAGCAAGCGUUGUCCGGAAUUACUGGGCGUAAAGGGCGCGUAGGUGGGUGCUUAAGUCAGGUGUGAAAACUACGGGCUUAACCUGUAGACUGCAGUUGAAACUGGCUUUCUUGAGUGAAGUAGAGGUUGGCGGAAUUCCGAGUGUAGCGGUGAAAUGCGUAGAUAUUCGGAGGAACACCGGUGGCGAAGGCGGCCAACUGGGCUUUAACUGACGCUGAGGCUCGAAAGUGUGGGGAGCAAACAGGAUUAGAUACCCCGGUAAU
RNAcentral lists this ribosomal RNA (471 nucleotides) under uncultured bacterium. RNAcentral's name for it is "bacterial SSU rRNA". It matches the Rfam family "Bacterial small subunit ribosomal RNA", at positions 330 to 794 of the family's 1533-position model. The record is from RNAcentral.